RNAcentral lists this ribosomal RNA (253 nucleotides) under uncultured bacterium. Its description in RNAcentral is "partial 16S ribosomal RNA". It matches the Rfam family "Bacterial small subunit ribosomal RNA", at positions 524 to 776 of the family's 1533-position model. The record is from RNAcentral.
UACGGAGGGUGCAAACGUUGCUCGGAAUCAUUGGGCGUAAAGCGCACGUAGGUGGUUUGUUAAGUCGGGUGUGAAAGCCCUGGGCUCAACCCAGGAAGUGCACUCGAAACUGGCAGACUUGAGUACUGAAGAGGGUCGCGGAAUUCCCGGUGUAGAGGUGAAAUUCGUAGAUAUCGGGAGGAACACCGGUGGCGAAGGCGGCUAUCUGGACGACAACUGACGCUUAGGCGCGAAAGCGCGGGGAUCAAACAGG